RNAcentral lists this ribosomal RNA (249 nucleotides) under uncultured bacterium. Its description in RNAcentral is "partial 16S ribosomal RNA". It matches the Rfam family "Bacterial small subunit ribosomal RNA", at positions 57 to 305 of the family's 1533-position model. The record is from RNAcentral.
GCACGUCGAGGGGUAACAGGUUGCUUGCACCGCCUACGACCGGCGCACGGAUGCGUAACGCGUAUACAAUCUACCUUGUAGAGGGGGAUAGCCCAGAGAAAUUUGGAUUAAUACCCCAUAGUAUUAUGAAAUAGCAUUAUUUUAUAAUUAAACAUUUAUGGCUACAAGAUGAGUAUGCGUUCUAUUAGUUAGUAGGUAAGGUAACGGCUUACCAAGACGUCGAUAGAUAGGGGUCCUGAGAGGGAGAUC